CCCUUACGGCUCAGUAACACGUGGAUAACCUGCCCUUGGGUCCGGCAUAACCCCGGGAAACUGGGGAUAAUUCCGGAUAACGCACAUAUGCUGGAAUGCUUUAUGCGUAAAAUGGAUUCGUCUGCCCAAGGAUGGGUCUGCGGCCUAUCAGGUAGUAGUGGGUGUAAUGUACCUACUAGCCAACAACGGGUACGGGUUGUGAGAGCAAGAGCCCGGAGAUGGAUUCUGAGACAUGAAUCCAGGCCCUACGGGGCGCAGCAGGCGCGAAAACUUUACAAUGCGGGAAACCGUGAUAAGGGGACACCGAGUGCCAGCGUCAUACGCUGGCUGUCCAGGUGUGUAAAAUACACCUGUUAGCAAGGGCCGGGCAAGACCGGUGCCAGCCGCCGCGGUAACACCGGCGGCCCGAGUGGUGAUCGUGAUUAUUGGGUCUAAAGGGUCCGUAGCCGGUUUGGUCAGUCCUCCGGGAAAUCUGAUAGCUCAACUAUUAGGCUUUCGGGGGAUACUGCCAGACUUGGAACCGGGAGAGGUAAGAGGUACUACAGGGGUAGGAGUGAAAUCUUGUAAUCCCUGUGGGACCACCUGUGGCGAAGGCGUCUUACCAGAACGGGCUCGACGGUGAGGGACGAAAGCUGGGGGCACGAACCGGAUUAGAUACUUGGAGAGUCCCAGCCGUAAACGAUGCUCGCUAGGUGUCAGGCAUGGCGCGACCGUGUCUGGUGCCGCAGGGAAGCCCGCGUACUAGCCACCUGGGAAGUACGGCCGCAAGGCUGAAACUUAAGGAUAUUGCGGGGGAGCAC
This 800-nucleotide ribosomal RNA is filed under the name uncultured bacterium. Its description in RNAcentral is "bacterial SSU rRNA". It matches the Rfam family "Archaeal small subunit ribosomal RNA", at positions 80 to 879 of the family's 1478-position model. The record is from RNAcentral.